GGGGCGUCCGACAUGGUGGACGGCGGUGACGCAGCAAUGCACUGUGGGACGGCGGUGUGUCUGACCUAAAGGUGAAAAAACAACUCCCUCUGUGGCCUGAGGGGGUGUGGGGGGGGGUGUGUGUGUGUGUGUGUGUGUGUGUGUGUGUGUCUAUAGGUGUGUGUGUGUGUGUGUCUCACAGAGUGUGUGUGUGUGUGUGUGUGUGGCAGCGCUGCAUUGCAGUGCCCAGGCUGAGUUGGCAUGCUGAGUACAUAGUGUGCAUACUGCGACACACACACACACACACACACACACACACACACACACACACACACACACACACACACAGCAGCGGCUUUUUGCUGCCUCAGCUUCAUCAGAGAGUUGAGAAGAGUUUAUAACAGGAGAGACAGACAGGUAGAGAGACAGACAGACAGAGAGAGAGAGACAGUUAGAGAGACAGACAGACAGAGAGAGAGAGAGAGACAGUUAGAG
Long non-coding RNA from Sebastes umbrosus (honeycomb rockfish), 474 nucleotides. RefSeq lists it as uncharacterized. The record is from RefSeq and is a predicted model, not a curated record. The transcript is spliced from 3 exons. Lineage: Eukaryota; Metazoa; Chordata; Actinopteri; Perciformes; Sebastidae.